GAUGAAGAACGUAGCGAAAUGCGAUAAGUAGUGUGAAUUGCAGAAUUCAGUGAAUCAUCGAAUCUUUGAACGCACAUUGCGCCCUUUGGUAUUCCAAAGGGCAUGCCUGUUCGAGCGUCAUUUGUACCCUCAAGCUUUGCUUGGUGUUGGGCGUCUUGUCUCUAGCUUUGCUGGAGACUCGCCUUAAAGUAAUUGGCAGCCGGCCUACUGGUUUCGGAGCGCAGCACAAGUCGCACUCUCUAUCAGCAAAGGUCUAGCAUCCAUUAAGCCUUUUUUUCAACUUUUGACCUCGGAUCAGGUAGGGAUUCCCGCUGAACUUAAGCAUAUCAAUAAGCGGAGGA
RNAcentral lists this unclassified non-coding RNA (341 nucleotides) under soil metagenome. RNAcentral describes it as "partial contains 5.8S ribosomal RNA, internal transcribed spacer 2, and large subunit ribosomal RNA". The stretch from base 1 to 120 matches the Rfam family "5.8S ribosomal RNA", at positions 35 to 154 of the family's 154-position model. The record is from RNAcentral.